Molecule: ribosomal RNA, 481 nt
Filed under: uncultured bacterium
Lineage: Bacteria
Description: bacterial SSU rRNA
Rfam family: Bacterial small subunit ribosomal RNA
Source: RNAcentral
AAUCAACGCUGGCGGCGUGCCUCAGACACGCAAGUCGAACGAUUAAAGCUCUCUUCGGAGAGUGUAUAGAGUGGCGCACGGGUGAGUAACACGUAAGUAAUCUACCUUUGAGUGGGGAAUAACAGUCGGAAACGACUGCUAAUACCGCAUAAUGCAGCGGCACCGCAAGGUGACAGUUGUUAAAGGAGCAAUUCGCUUAAAGAGGAGCUUGCGGCAGAUUAGCUUGUUGGUAAGGUAACGGCUUACCAAGGCUACGAUCUGUAUCCGGUCUUAGAGGACGGUCGGACACACUGACACUGAAUAACGGGUCAGACUCCUACGGGAGGCAGCAGUCGGGAAUUUUGGGCAAUGGGCGAAAGCCUGACCCAGCAACGCCGCGUGAAGGAUGAAGUAUUUCGGUAUGUAAACUUCGAAAGAAUAGGAAGAAUAAAUGACGGUACUAUUUAUAAGGUCCGGCUAACUACGUGCCAGCAGCCGCUGU